Molecule: non-coding RNA, 114 nt
Organism: Acanthosepion pharaonis
Lineage: Eukaryota; Metazoa; Mollusca; Cephalopoda; Sepiida; Sepiidae
Source: the annotation of a GenBank genome assembly
UUACGUCCAUACCACGUUGAAACACCGGUUCUCGUACGAUCACCGAUGUAAAGCAACGUUGAGCCUGGUCAUCAACUAGAUGGGUGACCUAUUGGGAAUAUCAAGUGCUGUAAG